UACGGGGGGGGCAAGCGUUGUUCGGAAUUACUGGGCGUAAAGGGCUCGUAGGUGGCCAACUAAGUCAUACGUGAAAUCCCUCAGCUUAACUGGGGAACUGCGUGUGAUACUGGAUGGCUUGGAUUUGGGAGAGGGAUGCGGAAUUCCAGGUGUAGCGGUGAAAUGCGUAGAUAUCUGGAGGAACACCGGUGGCGAAGGCGGCGUUCUGGACUGCAACUGACACUGAGGAACGAAAGCCAGGGGAGCAAACGGG
This 253-nucleotide ribosomal RNA is filed under the name uncultured bacterium. Its description in RNAcentral is "partial 16S ribosomal RNA". It matches the Rfam family "Bacterial small subunit ribosomal RNA", at positions 524 to 776 of the family's 1533-position model. The record is from RNAcentral.